AUCAAAACUUAACGAUUUUCAGAUAAAAACGAGUCGUCGAGGCUUCAUAAGUUACACACCAUAAUAACGGAAGAGUAUGACAAACGAAAACAUAAUAGAACAAAUUGAAAUCAAAUCGAAGACUAUAUAGUGUGGGUAGUGAGAAAAAUCAAAAGAACGAAAGGGUAUAAAAUAUGCAGAAUAAAUAUAAACUAAGAGUAAAAGUAGAAGAAAACUGUCGAGAUUAAACGAUGGUGUACAGCAAAUUGGUGCAAAUGUUUGUAUGUACAUAUGUAUAAAGCGUACAUUUUUAUAUACAUAUUUAUGUAUGUAUAUAGUACAAAUAUAUGGCUGUACAAGGCAUAUAGCGCGUAGUACAUAGAGAUAACCUGAGUGCUAAGAACAGAUGGAGUAGGCAAAGGGGGCUCUUGCAGGCACAGCAGCAGUACUUGAAAAUAUGCGCGCAUGUAUUUAUGAGGCCAACCAACCGACUGUCAGGCAAAUGAAAAGGCGUUGUGCGAAGGCAGGAGGGGGACGACAAACCACAUCGUUGGCAGGACGGGAGCGGUGGGCGAAGCAAAACAAAAAAAGCCAAGCAACAACAGUAACAACUAGCGGAGGCAGCGAGAGUGGGGAAACGUAAGGCGUGGAGCAGGGCAAAAGUGGGAGCAAGUGAAUUGCGGAACUGGUGAGUAGUAGAGUGGAGCAAAGCAAAAAAAAAUCAACACACAAAAAAAAUGUAUAAAAUAAAAUGGAAAUAGAAUGGCAAAAAAUCACAUUGGAAGGCAAGGUGGUAGCCGGGUAUGCGGUGGAUGCUUGAUGGCAGUUAAAAGCGUUGGAGCGGUAGAGCAGCAGUUGAGCGCUAAAACAAACACACAUACAUACUUGCAUAGCUUGUAGACGCGUUAAUAAAAUAUAUACGAGAGGAAGGAGUAUAUUGUAUGUAUGUACAGUAUGUAUGUGUAUUUCUAUAUACAUAUGUAUGCUUGUAUAUAUUUAUGUCGAUUUGUAGUAGGCAUGAACGCAAAAAUUGUGUGAUGCGACCGAAAGCGAGCAAAAAUGAAAUAAAGUAACAGGAAAAAAUCAUAUCACAAACAGCAAUCAACCAACCGAACAGUCAGUGGACAGUCUUAAAACAAAAUCAAGUACGGAAAAAAUAAUAAAAAUUCAUACGAGUGCCAAUCGCUGGCAAAUGUAUCCACUUGCAUGCAUACUACAUGCAUACAUACCUACACACAUACCAACGAGUAAAAAUGUAUCGCUUUGCACCGAAUGGGGCGAGUAUGCAGCCGAGAGGGUGUGCAAGGAGAGGCAAAAAAAAAAAAAAACGAAACGAAACGAAACAAAAAGACAUCUGCAAACAGCACUUGGCACUCAGUGCAAAACAUUAAAUUGCAUGGGAGUAGAGCAGAGAGCAGUGCAGCGGGCUACCGAUAUUAGAGUCGCUCGGCAAUUUGGUGGUCCGAGAGUAUAAGAAUGAGAGCGCAUACAUAUGCUGUGCAGAGGAAGCAUUUGCGAAAAGUACAAAAAAAAAGUAUUAGCAACAACAACAACAAUAAUAAGCGCAAAUAGUGUUCAACGGGCGUUGCUAUUUCAAGAGGUUGCAGAGGGCUAAGUGGUCGCGGGUUGUAUGAGGCGGUGUAUUUUAAUUGUGUUGUACUCAUAUUUACAUAUAUACAUACAUAUGUACAUGCCUAAGAUGCGAUUGUGUGUAUACAUGAAUUCGAAAACUUUGCCACGGUACAUGGAAAGUAUUUAAAAAAAGCCACAUUUUCUUAAAGCGUUUCAAAUGUUUAAUUAGGUAUGUACAUAUGUAUAUAUGUAUGUAUGUUUGUUGAUAUCUUUGCUUUAGUUUUUUUAUGUUUUUUUAUUUUUAACGUUUCUCUUCGAGUAGUUGGAGAAAAUGAGACAAAAGUUGCUUAGCCAGGAUUGCAUUUUAAUAUGCACGAGUAAAUAUGUAAAUACAUACAUACAUACGUACUUACAUAUAUGCACUUCUACAUACUUAUGUACAUAUGUACAUUAUUUUCAAAUUCAAUUUAUUUAUUGCAGCUUAUUUAGUUUUUCACACUAAGGUGCGAAGAUUUAUCGGCUAAGGCGAUUUAACUUAAUAAUUAUACCGACUAUAUUCUUCAAUUAUGUUUUUUUGUAUACAUAUGCAUAGAAUAAUAUGUAGAAAUAUGGCCCUAAAAGCAUUUCUCGCGUUAUUAAACGUUUUAAAAAAGAUGUGCGUAUUGACUGGCAGAAAGGUUCUGGUAAAAAGGGGCCACAUGAUCGUGAGAAGGCGAAGAACGUUGUGACCAUUCUCAAGAAAGACCCAAAGAAAUUUCUUGUGUGGCAGGCCGUUACGUCGGGCACAAUCAACAGCGAGAUAUAUGAGAAGAAAGGUUUACAAAAGAACUUGCUUCCAUUCCUAAGCCAACAUGAAAUGUCCACGUUUUUUUGGCCUGACCUCGCUUCAUGUCACUUUAGCAAAACAGCCUUAGAGUGGUUCCAACGGAAUAAGGGAUUUUAGUACCUAGAGAAGCGAAUCCAACUAACUAUCCAGAAUUAUGGCCGAUUGAGAGAUAUACUGUGUUUUAGUAAAAAAGGAGAUGAAGGCAACAAAAAAAAGUGACUAAAGACCUUCAAGAUUAAAAAAAAAAUUGGUUU
This is a long non-coding RNA of Bactrocera neohumeralis, 2631 nucleotides long. RefSeq lists it as uncharacterized. Lineage: Eukaryota; Metazoa; Arthropoda; Insecta; Diptera; Tephritidae. The record is from RefSeq and is a predicted model, not a curated record. The transcript is spliced from 2 exons.